AUACGGAGGAUGCAAGCGUUAUCCGGAUUUAUUGGGUUUAAAGGGUGCGUAGGCGGUUUGCUAAGCGGGAGGUGAAAUGCCGGCGCUCAACGUCGGAAGUGCCUCCCGAACUGGUGGACUUGAAUGACUAUGCCGUGGGAGGAAUGUGUAGUGUAGCGGUGAAAUGCUUAGAGAUUACACAGAACACCGAUUGCGAAGGCAUCUCACGAAGGGUUGAUUGACGCUGAGGCACGAAAGCGUGGGGAUCAAACAGGAUUAGAUACCCUGGUAGUCCACGCAGUAAACGAUGAUGGCUAACCGCUGGGCUUAUCAGUUCAGUGGCCAAGCGAAAGCGAUAAGCCAUCCACCUGGGGAGUACGACCGCAAGGUUGAAACUCAAAUGAAUUGACGGGG
RNAcentral lists this ribosomal RNA (393 nucleotides) under uncultured bacterium. RNAcentral's name for it is "partial 16S ribosomal RNA". It matches the Rfam family "Bacterial small subunit ribosomal RNA", at positions 523 to 918 of the family's 1533-position model. The record is from RNAcentral.